This 835-nucleotide ribosomal RNA is filed under the name Staphylococcus pasteuri. Its description in RNAcentral is "bacterial SSU rRNA". It matches the Rfam family "Bacterial small subunit ribosomal RNA", at positions 43 to 859 of the family's 1533-position model. Lineage: Bacteria; Bacillati; Bacillota; Bacilli; Caryophanales; Staphylococcaceae. The record is from RNAcentral.
UCUGCCUAUACUGCAAGUCGAGCGAACAGAUAAGGAGCUUGCUCCUUUGACGUUAGCGGCGGACGGGUGAGUAACACGUGGAUAACCUACCUAUAAGACUGGGAUAACUUCGGGAAACCGGAGCUAAUACCGGAUAACAUAUUGAACCGCAUGGUUCAAUAGUGAAAGGCGGCUUUGCUGUCACUUAUAGAUGGAUCCGCGCCGUAUUAGCUAGUUGGUAAGGUAACGGCUUACCAAGGCAACGAUACGUAGCCGACCUGAGAGGGUGAUCGGCCACACUGGAACUGAGACACGGUCCAGACUCCUACGGGAGGCAGCAGUAGGGAAUCUUCCGCAAUGGGCGAAAGCCUGACGGAGCAACGCCGCGUGAGUGAUGAAGGUCUUCGGAUCGUAAAACUCUGUUAUCAGGGAAGAACAAAUGUGUAAGUAACUGUGCACAUCUUGACGGUACCUGAUCAGAAAGCCACGGCUAACUACGUGCCAGCAGCCGCGGUAAUACGUAGGUGGCAAGCGUUAUCCGGAAUUAUUGGGCGUAAAGCGCGCGUAGGCGGUUUUUUAAGUCUGAUGUGAAAGCCCACGGCUCAACCGUGGAGGGUCAUUGGAAACUGGAAAACUUGAGUGCAGAAGAGGAAAGUGGAAUUCCAUGUGUAGCGGUGAAAUGCGCAGAGAUAUGGAGGAACACCAGUGGCGAAGGCGACUUUCUGGUCUGUAACUGACGCUGAUGUGCGCAAGCGUGGGGAUCAAACAGGAAUAGAUACCCUGGUAGUCCACCCCCUAAAUAAUGAAGUGUAAAAGGUAUGGGGUUUUCCCCCCUUCAAUGUUGCUGACAAAGGUU